RNAcentral lists this ribosomal RNA (492 nucleotides) under uncultured bacterium. RNAcentral's name for it is "partial 16S ribosomal RNA". It matches the Rfam family "Bacterial small subunit ribosomal RNA", at positions 29 to 507 of the family's 1533-position model. The record is from RNAcentral.
AGUGAACGCUGGCGGUAGGCCUAACACAUGCAAGUCGAACGGCAGCACAGUAAGAGCUUGCUCUUACGGGUGGCGAGUGGCGGACGGGUGAGGCAUACAUCGGAAUCUACUUUUUCGUGGGGGAUAACGUAGGGAAACUUACGCUAAUACCGAAUACGACCUACGGGUGAAAGCAGGGGAUCUUCGGACCUUGCGCGAUUGAAUGAGCCGAUGUCGGAUUAGCUAGUUGGCGGGGUAAAGGCCCACCAAGGCGACGAUCCGUAGCUGGUCUGAGAGGAUGAUCAGCCACACUGGAACUGAGACACGGUCCAGACUCCUACGGGAGGCAGCAGUGGGGAAUAUUGGACAAUGGGCGCAAGCCUGAUCCAGCCAUACCGCGUGGGUGAAGAAGGCCUUCGGGUUGUAAAGCCCUUUUGUUGGGAAAGAAAAGCAGCAGGUUAAUACCCCGCUGUUCUGACGGUACCCAAAGAAUAAGCACCGGCUAACUUCGUG